RNAcentral lists this ribosomal RNA (444 nucleotides) under uncultured bacterium. RNAcentral's name for it is "bacterial SSU rRNA". It matches the Rfam family "Bacterial small subunit ribosomal RNA", at positions 331 to 792 of the family's 1533-position model. The record is from RNAcentral.
CCAGACUCCUACGGGAGGCAGCAGUGAGGAAUAUUGGGCAAUGGAGGCAACUCUGACCCAGCCAUGCCGCGUGAGUGAAGAAGGUUUUCGGAUUGUAAAGCUCUUUCGGAUGUGACGAUGAUGACGGUAGCAUCUAAAGAAGCCCCGGCUAACUUCGUGCCAGCAGCCGCGGUAAUACGAAGGGGGCAAGCGUUAUCCGGAUUUACUGGGUGUAAAGGGAGCGUAGACGGCAGCGCAAGUCUGAAGUGAAAUCCCAUGGCUUAACCAUGGAACUGCUUUGGAAACUGUGCAGCUGGAGUGCAGGAGAGGUAAGCGGAAUUCCUAGUGUAGCGGUGAAAUGCGUAGAUAUUAGGAGGAACACCAGUGGCGAAGGCGGCUUACUGGACUGUAACUGACGUUGAGGCUCGAAAGCGUGGGGAGCAAACAGGAUUAGAUACCCCCGUA